AUGAACAUACCUCUUAAGAAUAAAAUCUUUGCAUAGUAUCUUCGUCGCGGAGUCAUUCUUACUAAAGAUAACCUUAUUAAGAGGAAUUGGCAUGGAAGUACGCAAUAUGUAUUUUGUCCGCAUGAUGAGACAAUAAAACAUUUGUUCUUUCAUUGUAAAUUGGCUCGUUCUAUAUGGUCAGUCAUCCAGAUAGCUUCUGGCCUGUAUCCUCCGUGUAGUGUUGCUAAUAUAUUUGGCAACUGGUUACAUGGGAUUGAUCACAGGUUUAAAAUUCUUCUCAGGGUGGGAGCGCUUGCCGUGAUUUGGUCGCUUUGA
Molecule: ribosomal RNA, 315 nt
Filed under: Triticum aestivum (bread wheat)
Lineage: Eukaryota; Viridiplantae; Streptophyta; Magnoliopsida; Poales; Poaceae
Description: partial small subunit ribosomal RNA
Source: RNAcentral